AAAUUGAAGAGUUUGAUCAUGGCUCAGAUUGAACGCUGGCGGCAGGCCUAACACAUGCAAGUCGAACGGUAACAGGAAGAAGCUUGCUUCUUUGCUGACGAGUGGCGGACGGGUGAGUAAUGUCUGGGAAACUGCCUGAUGGAGGGGGAUAACUACUGGAAACGGUAGCUAAUACCGCAUAACGUCGCAAGACCAAAGAGGGGGACCUUCGGGCCUCUUGCCAUCGGAUGUGCCCAGAUGGGAUUAGCUAGUAGGUGGGGUAACGGCUCAC
RNAcentral lists this ribosomal RNA (271 nucleotides) under Escherichia coli. Its description in RNAcentral is "partial 16S ribosomal RNA". It matches the Rfam family "Bacterial small subunit ribosomal RNA", at positions 1 to 268 of the family's 1533-position model. RNAcentral also lists the same sequence under 1 other name. The record is from RNAcentral. Lineage: Bacteria; Pseudomonadati; Pseudomonadota; Gammaproteobacteria; Enterobacterales; Enterobacteriaceae.